This 253-nucleotide ribosomal RNA is filed under the name uncultured bacterium. Its description in RNAcentral is "partial 16S ribosomal RNA". It matches the Rfam family "Bacterial small subunit ribosomal RNA", at positions 524 to 776 of the family's 1533-position model. The record is from RNAcentral.
UACGUAGGGUGCAAGCGUUGUCCGGAAUUAUUGGGCGUAAAGAGCUCGUAGGCGGUCUGUCGCAUCUGCUGUGAAAACUCGGGGCUUAACCCCGGGCCUGCAGUGGGUACGGGCAGACUAGAGUGAUGUAGGGGAGACUGGAAUUCCUGGUGUAGCGGUGAAAUGCGCAGAUAUCAGGAGGAACACCGAUGGCGAAGGCAGGUCUCUGGGCAUUAACUGACGCUGAGGAGCGAAAGCAUGGGGAGCGAACAGG